This 381-nucleotide ribosomal RNA is filed under the name uncultured bacterium. RNAcentral's name for it is "bacterial SSU rRNA". It matches the Rfam family "Bacterial small subunit ribosomal RNA", at positions 27 to 402 of the family's 1533-position model. The record is from RNAcentral.
GGACGAACGCUGGCGGCGUGCUUAACACCUGCAAGUGGAGCGACGAACCAGGGCUUGCCCUGGGGCAGAGCCGCGAACGGGUGAGUAACACGUGGGUAACGUGCCCCGAUGAUCGGGACAACCCGGGGAAACCCGGGCUAAUACCGAAUGUGCUCCCCUCACACCAGUGAGGGAUGGAAAGGAAGCUUCGGCCUCCGCAUCGGGAUCGGCCCGCGGCCCAUUAGCUUGUUGGUGAGGUAACGGCUCACCAAGGCUGCGAUGGGUAGCUGGUCUGAGAGGACGAUCAGCCACACUGGGACUGAGACACGGCCAGACUCCUACGGGAGGCAGCAGUGGGGAAUCUUGCGCAAUGCGCGAAAGCGUGACGCAGCAACGCCGCGU